RNAcentral lists this ribosomal RNA (254 nucleotides) under uncultured prokaryote. RNAcentral describes it as "partial 16S ribosomal RNA". It matches the Rfam family "Bacterial small subunit ribosomal RNA", at positions 524 to 776 of the family's 1533-position model. The record is from RNAcentral.
UACGGGGGGAGCAAGCGUUGUUCGGAUUUACUGGGCGUAAAGGGCGCGUAGGCGGCCACGACAAGUCACUUGUGAAAUCUCCGGGCUCAACCGAGAAACGUCGGCUGAUACUGCCGUUCUUGAGGGAUGCAGAGGAGACUGGAAUUCCCGGUGUAGCGGUGAAAUGUGUAGAGAUCGGGAGGAACACCGGUGGCGAAGGCGGGUCUCUGGGCAUUUCCUGACGCUGAGGCGCGAAAGCGUGGGGAGCAAACGGG